GUAGGGAAUAUUGCGCAAUGGACGAAAGUCUGACGCAGCGACGCCGCGUGAGUGAUGAAGGCCUUAGGGUCGUAAAGCUCUGUUGAAUGGGAAGAAAAAAAUGACGGUACCAUUCGAGGAAGGACCGGCUAACUUCGUGCCAGCAGCCGCGGUAAUACGAGGGGUCCUAGCGUUGUUCGGAAUCAUUGGGCGUAAAGGGUGUGUAGGUGGCCAUGUAAGUCAGGUGUGAAAGCCCCGGGCUCAACCCGGGAAGUGCACUUGAUACUACGUGGCUUGAGUACCGAAGAGGGUAGUGGAAUUCCAGGGGCAGUGGUGAAAUACGUAGAUAUCUGGAGGAACACCGGUGGCGAAGGCGGCUACCUGGUCGAGUACUGACACUGAGACACGAAAGCAUGGGGAUCAAACAGGAUUAGAAACCCCAGUAGUCC
This 428-nucleotide ribosomal RNA is filed under the name uncultured bacterium. RNAcentral's name for it is "partial 16S ribosomal RNA". It matches the Rfam family "Bacterial small subunit ribosomal RNA", at positions 354 to 796 of the family's 1533-position model. The record is from RNAcentral.